UGGGGAAUAUUGCACAAUGGGCGCAAGCCUGAUGCAGCCAUGCCGCGUGUAUGAAGAAGGCCUUCGGGUUGUAAAGUACUUUCAGCGGGGAGGAAAGUGUUGAGGUUAAUAACCUCAGCAAUUGACGUUACCCGCAGAAGAAGCACCGGCUAACUCCGUGCCAGCAGCCGCGGUAAUACGGAGGGUGCAAGCGUUAAUCGGAAUUACUGGGCGUAAAGCGCACGCAGGCGGUCUGUCAAGUCGGAUGUGAAAUCCCCGGGCUCAACCUGGGAACUGCAUUCGAAACUGGCAGGCUAGAGUCUUGUAGAGGGGGGUAGAAUUCCAGGUGUAGCGGUGAAAUGCGUAGAGAUCUGGAGGAAUACCGGUGGCGAAGGCGGCCCCCUGGACAAAGACUGACGCUCAGGUGCGAAAGCGUGGGGAGCAAACA
Molecule: ribosomal RNA, 427 nt
Filed under: uncultured bacterium
Lineage: Bacteria
Description: partial 16S ribosomal RNA
Rfam family: Bacterial small subunit ribosomal RNA
Source: RNAcentral